This 76-nucleotide transfer RNA is filed under the name Gammaproteobacteria bacterium. RNAcentral's name for it is "tRNA-Asn". It matches the Rfam family "tRNA". From Rfam's summary of the family: Transfer RNA (tRNA) molecules are approximately 80 nucleotides in length. Their secondary structure includes four short double-helical elements and three loops (D, anti-codon, and T loops). Further hydrogen bonds mediate the characteristic L-shaped molecular structure. tRNAs have two regions of fundamental functional importance: the anti-codon, which is responsible for specific mRNA codon recognition, and the 3' end, to which the tRNAs corresponding amino acid is attached (by aminoacyl-tRNA synthetases). tRNAs cope with the degeneracy of the genetic code in two manners: having more than one tRNA (with a specific anti-codon) for a particular amino acid; and 'wobble' base-pairing, i.e. permitting non-standard base-pairing at the 3rd anti-codon position. The record is from RNAcentral. Lineage: Bacteria; Pseudomonadati; Pseudomonadota; Gammaproteobacteria. RNAcentral also lists the same sequence under 2 other names.
UCCUCGGUAGCUCAGUUGGUAGAGCAAGCGACUGUUAAUUGCUGGGCCGGCGGUUCGAGUCCGUCCCGGGGAGCCA